RNAcentral lists this ribosomal RNA (467 nucleotides) under uncultured bacterium. Its description in RNAcentral is "partial 16S ribosomal RNA". It matches the Rfam family "Bacterial small subunit ribosomal RNA", at positions 28 to 506 of the family's 1533-position model. The record is from RNAcentral.
GACGAACGCUGGCGGCGUGCUUAACACAUGCAAGUCGAACGGAAAGGCCCUGCUUUCGUGGGGUGCUCGCGUGGCGAACGGGUGAGUAACACGUGAGUAACCUGCCCUUGACUUUGGGAUAACUUCAGGAAACUGGGGCUAAUACCGGAUAGGAGCUCCUGCUGCAUGGUGGGGGUUGGAAAGUUUCGGCGGUUGGGGAUGGACUCGCGGCUUAUGAGCUUGUUGGUGGGGUAGUGGCUUACCAAGGCUUUGACGGGUAGCCGGCCUGAGAGGGUGACCGGCCACAUUGGGACUGGGAUACGGCCCAUACUGCUACGGGAGGCAGGAGUGGGGAAUAUUGCACGAUGGGCGGAAGCCGGAUGGAGCAACGCCGCGUGCGGGAUGACGGCAUUCUGGUUGUAAACCGCUUUCGCCUGUGACGAAGCGUGAGUGACGGUAAUGGGUAAAGAAGCACCGGCUAAUUACGU